UACGUAGGUGGCAAGCGUUGUCCGGAUUUAUUGGGCGUAAAGCGCGCGCAGGCGGUCCGUUAAGUUCGAGGUGAAAUCUCCCGGCUCAACUGGGAGGGGUCUUCGGAUACUGGUGGACUUGAGGAGAGCAGAGGUGAGUGGAAUUCUGGGUGUAGUGGUGAAAUGCGUAGAUAUCCAGAGGAACACCAGUGGCGAAGGCGGCUCACUGGGCUCCACCUGACGCUGAGGCGCGAAAGCGUGGGGAGCGAACCGG
This 253-nucleotide ribosomal RNA is filed under the name uncultured bacterium. RNAcentral's name for it is "partial 16S ribosomal RNA". It matches the Rfam family "Bacterial small subunit ribosomal RNA", at positions 524 to 776 of the family's 1533-position model. The record is from RNAcentral.